RNAcentral lists this transfer RNA (129 nucleotides) under Sphaerulina populicola P02.02b. Its description in RNAcentral is "tRNA-Thr (CGT) (tRNA-Thr-CGT-2-1)". It matches the Rfam family "tRNA". From Rfam's summary of the family: Transfer RNA (tRNA) molecules are approximately 80 nucleotides in length. Lineage: Eukaryota; Fungi; Ascomycota; Dothideomycetes; Mycosphaerellales; Mycosphaerellaceae. The record is from RNAcentral.
GCCCCUAUAGCUCAGUGGUAGAGCGCGCCACUCGUAAUGGCGAGGUCAGGUGUGUACCGCUCUACUCAUCUCUGCUGCUGAACAAAUGCUGAUAUAGAUCGUACAGUCGUUCAAACCGGCUUAGGGGCU